UUUGGAGAGUUUGAUCCUGGCUCAGGACGAACGCUGGCGGCGUGCCUAAUACAUGCAAGUCGAGCGGACUUGAU
Molecule: ribosomal RNA, 74 nt
Filed under: Paenibacillus vortex V453
Lineage: Bacteria; Bacillati; Bacillota; Bacilli; Caryophanales; Paenibacillaceae
Description: partial 16S ribosomal RNA
Rfam family: Bacterial small subunit ribosomal RNA
Source: RNAcentral